AGAGUUUGAUCAUGGCUCAGGAUGAACGCUGGCGGCGUGCUUAACACAUGCAAGUCGAGCGAUGAAGUUUCCUUUCGGGAAACGGAUUAGCGGCGGACGGGUGAGUAACACGUGGGUAACCUGCCUCAUAGAGGGGAAUAGCCUCCCGAAAGGGAGAUUAAUGCCGCAUAAUAUUACAGUUUCGCAUGAAACAGUAAUUAAAGGAGCAAUCCGCUAUGAGAUGGACCCGCGGCGCAUUAGCUAGUUGGUGAGGUAACGGCUCACCAAGGCGACGAUGCGUAGCCGACCUGAGAGGGUGAUCGGCCACAUUGGGACUGAGACACGGCCCAGACUCCUACGGGAGGCAGCAGUGGGGAAUAUUGCACAAUGGGGGAAACCCUGAUGCAGCAACGCCGCGUGAGUGAUGACGGUCUUCGGAUUGUAAAGCUCUGUCUUUGGGGACGAUAAUGACGGUACCCAAGGAGGAAGCCACGGCUAACUACGUGCCAGCAGCCGCGGUAAUACGUAGGUGGCGAGCGUUGUCCGGAUUUACUGGGCGUAAAGGGAGCGUAGGCGGAUUCUUAAGUGGGAUGUGAAAUACCCGGGCUUAACCUGGGUGCUGCAUUCCAAACUGGGAAUCUAGAGUGCAGGAGGGGAGAGUGGAAUUCCUAGUGUAGCGGUGAAAUGCGUAGAGAUUAGGAAGAACACCAGUGGCGAAGGCGACUCUCUGGACUGUAACUGACGCUGAGGCUCGAAAGCGUGGGGAGCAAACAGGAUUAGAUACCCUGGUAGUCCACGCCGUAAACGAUGGAUACUAGGUGUGGGAGGUAUCAACUCCUUCCGUGCCGCCGCUAACGCAUUAAGUAUCUCGCCUGGGGAGUACGGUCGCAAGAUUAAAACUCAAAGGAAUUGACGG
Molecule: ribosomal RNA, 895 nt
Filed under: uncultured bacterium
Lineage: Bacteria
Description: bacterial SSU rRNA
Rfam family: Bacterial small subunit ribosomal RNA
Source: RNAcentral